UACAGGGGGGGCAAGCGUUGUUCGGAAUUACUGGGCGUAAAGGGUUUGUAGGUGGCUUGUUAAGUCAGACGUGAAAUCCCUCAGCUUAACUGGGGAACUGCGUCUGAUACUGAUGAGCUUGAGUGCAGGAGAGGAACGCGGAAUUCCAGGUGUAGCGGUGAAAUGCGUAGAUAUCUGGAGGAACACCGGUGGCGAAGGCGACUACCUGGCCUGUUCUUGACGCUGAGGCGCGAAAGCUAGGGGAGCAAACGGG
RNAcentral lists this ribosomal RNA (253 nucleotides) under uncultured bacterium. RNAcentral's name for it is "partial 16S ribosomal RNA". It matches the Rfam family "Bacterial small subunit ribosomal RNA", at positions 524 to 776 of the family's 1533-position model. The record is from RNAcentral.